AUUGAACGCUGGCGGCAUGCUUUACACAUGCAAGUCGAACGGUAACAGGCCGCAAGGUGCUGACGAGUGGCGAACGGGUGAGUAAUGCAUCGGAACGUGCCCAGUCGUGGGGGAUAACGCGGCGAAAGCUGUGCUAAUACCGCAUACGAUCUAUGGAUGAAAGCGGGGGACCGUAAGGCCUCGCGCGAUUGGAGCGGCCGAUGUCAGAUUAGGUAGUUGGUGGGGUAAAGGCCCACCAAGCCAACGAUCUGUAGCGGGUCUGAGAGGACGACCAGCCACACUGGGACUGAGACACGGCCCAGACUCCUACGGGAGGCAGCAGUGGGGAAUUUUGGACAAUGGGCGCAAGCCUGAUCCAGCAAUGCCGCGUGCAGGAAGAAGGCCUUCGGGUUGUAAACUGCUUUUGUACGGAACGAAAAGGUUUGGGUUAAUACCCUGGGCCGAUGACGGUACCGUAAGAAUAAGCACCGGCUAACUACGUGCCAGCCGCCGCAGUAA
Molecule: ribosomal RNA, 498 nt
Filed under: uncultured bacterium
Lineage: Bacteria
Description: partial 16S ribosomal RNA
Rfam family: Bacterial small subunit ribosomal RNA
Source: RNAcentral